Molecule: long non-coding RNA, 410 nt
Organism: Coturnix japonica (Japanese quail)
Lineage: Eukaryota; Metazoa; Chordata; Aves; Galliformes; Phasianidae
Source: RefSeq, a predicted model, not a curated record
UGCUUCUGCAAGGGUCACCCUUAUUUGUGAAACAAUCAUCUGCAGCCUGCAAUCUGAAAAUGAAGCUUUUUCCUGAAAACCUUUUCAGCUGUAAGGCAACUUGGUCACCUAGACAAGCAGAUUCUCUGAGGCCAAUGAAUUCACGUACAUUGGGAGAGUUGAAGCCUUCUCUGCAAGUGAAAGAAGAAUCUUAGGAAUAAGGCUCUUUAUUGCGUUCUCUGUGCUUUGGAGACUAUGAGUUCCUGUAUCAAAUUAUUCCCCCUCGCUGGACUGUGCAAGAAAAUGAAAUCGGGAGAGAAAGGGAACAGAUCAGCAUGAAGCUAAUGUGGAAGCACCUGUGCUUUCGCAAGGGCCUUCUCCACAACUGCAGCAGGUAUCUCUGCUGGGAAAUGCUUCAUUCCCUCCAUUGC